Molecule: non-coding RNA, 28 nt
Filed under: Mus musculus (house mouse)
Lineage: Eukaryota; Metazoa; Chordata; Mammalia; Rodentia; Muridae
Source: RNAcentral
UUUAAAGAGUGCCCUGGGUAAAGUCUUA